UAUCUCUGUAGAGUCUGCAUAUCAAUAAGCGGAGGAAAAGAAACUAACAAGGAUUCCCCUAGUAACGGCGAGUGAAGCGGGAAGAGCUCAAAUUUGAAAUCUUCAAGGUUUGACCUUGACGAAUUGUAGUUUAAAGAAGUGUUUUCGGUUAGAGGAGUAGUAAAAGUUCUUUGGAAUAGGACAUCAUAGAGGGUGAGAAUCCCGUAUUUGACUAUUCUUUCUAGCUUUGUGAUACACUUUCAACGAGUCGGAUUGUUUGGGAAUGCAGUCCAAAAUGGGUGGUAAAUUUCAUCUAAAGCUAAAUAUUGGCGAGAGACCGAUAGCGAACAAGUACCGUGAGGGAAAGAUGAAAAGAACUUUGAAAAGAGAGUUAAACAGUACGUGAAAUUGUCAAAAGGGAAGCGUUUGACACCAGUGUUGUUUUUCCGAAAAUCAAUUAAAAAUUGAUUCAUGCCAGGUUGUAUUGACCUUAUCAGCUUGCAAUUUGGUUUUGGGUCUCUUUUUGAUGCACUUUUCGGUUAACAAGUCAACAUCAAUUUCCUUUGCUGUAAAAAGGUAAGAGGAAGGUGGCUUCAAUUUCGGUUGAAGUGUUUAUAGCCUUUUAUCUCUGCAGUCGGGGAGAUUGAGGUCUGCAGCGUAGAUCCUUCGGGGCUAGAUACAUUUAUGCUAAGUUAUAGCUUUUCAUAGACAGCUUGUUGACUAUGUUUAGUCAUGUAGCUUACUCGUAAGUGCUAUUUUACCUACGCUUAGGAUGUUGAAGACUCUACAGAGAUA
RNAcentral lists this ribosomal RNA (774 nucleotides) under uncultured Neocallimastigales. RNAcentral describes it as "partial large subunit ribosomal RNA". It matches the Rfam family "Eukaryotic large subunit ribosomal RNA", at positions 24 to 642 of the family's 3401-position model. The record is from RNAcentral. Lineage: Eukaryota; Fungi; Neocallimastigomycota; Neocallimastigomycetes; Neocallimastigales.